This 960-nucleotide ribosomal RNA is filed under the name Cellulosimicrobium composti. RNAcentral's name for it is "bacterial SSU rRNA". It matches the Rfam family "Bacterial small subunit ribosomal RNA", at positions 58 to 990 of the family's 1533-position model. The record is from RNAcentral. Lineage: Bacteria; Bacillati; Actinomycetota; Actinomycetes; Micrococcales; Promicromonosporaceae.
CAAGGUACACUAGUAAGUUUGAUCCUGGGCUCAGGAAUGUCCUUAUCNNNGGUGGCCAGCUUUAGUGGUNUUUACGGGUGAGUAACACGUUAGUAACCUGCCCUUGACUUCGGGAUAACUCCGGGAAACCGGGGCUAAUACCGGCAUAUGAGCCGCCUUCGCAUGGGGGUGGUUGGAAAGUUUUUCGGUCAGGGAUGGGCUCGCGGCCUAUCAGCUUGUUGGUGGGGUGAUGGCCUACCAAGGCGACGACGGGUAGCCGGCCUGAGAGGGCGACCGGCCACACUGGGACUGAGACACGGCCCAGACUCCUACGGGAGGCAGCAGUGGGGAAUAUUGCACAAUGGGCGAAAGCCUGAUGCAGCGACGCCGCGUGAGGGAUGAAGGCCUUCGGGUUGUAAACCUCUUUCAGCAGGGAAGAAGCGCAAGUGACGGUACCUGCAGAAGAAGCGCCGGCUAACUACGUGCCAGCAGCCGCGGUAAUACGUAGGGCGCAAGCGUUGUCCGGAAUUAUUGGGCGUAAAGAGCUCGUAGGCGGUCUGUCGCGUCUGGUGUGAAGACUCGAGGCUCAACCUCGAGCUUGCAUCGGGUACGGGCAGACUAGAGUGCGGUAGGGGAGACUGGAAUUCCUGGUGUAGCGGUGGAAUGCGCAGAUAUCAGGAGGAACACCGAUGGCUAAGGCAGGUCUCUGGGCCGCAACUGACGCUCAGGAGCGAAAGCAUGGCGGAGCGAACAGGAUUAGAUACCCUGGUAGUCCAUGCCGUAAACGUUGGGCACUAGGUGUGAGGCUCAUUCCACGAGUUCCGUGCCGCAUCAAACGCAUUAAUUGCCCCCGCCUGGGGAGUACGGCCGCCACGGCUAAAACUCAGAGGAAUUUGACGGGGGCCCGCCACAAAUCGGCGGAGCAUGCCGAAUUAAUUUCGAUGCAACGCGAAUAAACCUUACCAAAGGCUUGGACAUGCC